CAGGAGAGUCCUUCCAGCAGGCGGGAGAGCGGAGCGCAGACAACAGAUGUGAGAAAGGUCCCAGAGCUGUCAGGUUUCAGCAUCCUUGUGCCGAAGUAGGGAGGCGCCAACAUGAUUGAUGGUCGGAGCCUGUAUAAAACCGGUCCACCUCUAAGCAGCUGCUUGUCACACUGACCCACACCAUCUCUCUGCUGCCCUUGGGGUUUCUGUCAACCGCUGCUAGAAAGGAGAAAACCUUUUGGAGAGUAAUCUUUUGUUGUGGUCAUGCCAGAACCCACUAAGAAAGAGGAAAAUGAAGUGUCCGCCCCAGCCCCUCCCCCGGAAGAACCAAAUAAAGAGAAAGAGGCGGGAACCGCUCCAGCAAAAGAGGAAGAUGAGGCUUCUCCGCCGAGUGCCCUACCUCCAGGUUUGGGUAGUCGGGCCCUGGAGAGAAAAGAUUCAGAAUGGUCUCUUGGUGAGUCACCUGCUGGCGGGGAAGAGCAGGACAAACAGAAUGCCAACUCCCAGCUGUCCACCCUGUUUGUUGAAAAACCUCAAACCGGAUCGGUGAAAGUUGGUGCAAACAUCACCUUUGUAGCCAAAGUUAGGGCUGAAGAUCUUCUUAGAAAACCCACUGUCAAAUGGUUCAAGGGGAAAUGGAUGGAUCUGGCCAGCAAAGCCGGGAAACACCUGCAGCUGAAGGAGACCUUCGAGAGGCAAACUCGGGUAUACACAUUCGAGAUGCAGAUCAUCAAAGCCAAAGAGAACUACGCAGGGAAUUAUAGGUGUGAGGUCACCUACAAGGAUAAAUUUGACAGCUGUUCGUUUGAUCUUGAAGUCCAUGAGUCUACUGGGACUACUCCAAACAUUGACAUCAGAUCUGCCUUCAAAAGAAGUGGAGAAGGUCAAGAGGAUGCAGGGGAACUUGACUUUAGUGGUCUCCUGAAACGUAGGGAGGUGAAGCAGCAGGAAGAGGAGCCUGAGAUAGACGUGUGGGAGCUGCUGAAAAAUGCCAACCCCAACGAAUACGAGAAGAUCGCUUUCCAGUAUGGCAUCACCGACUUGCGUGGCAUGCUUAAGCGGCUCAAGCGCAUGCGCAGGGUGGAAAAGAAGAGCGCAGCUUUUGCAAAAAUUCUCGAUCCUGCAUAUCAGGUGGAUAAAGGAGGCAAAGUGAGAUUUGUCGUGGAGUUGGCAGACCCAAAACUGGAGGUGAAAUGGUUUAAAAAUGGCCAAGAGAUUCGACCCAGCACAAAAUACAUCUUUGAGCACAAAGGAAACGAGAGAAUCAUGUUUAUUAAUAACUGUUCGCUGACAGAUGAUUCGGAGUACUAUGUGACAGCUGGAGAUGAGAAAUGUUCUACUGAGCUCUUUGUAAGAGAGCCUCCAAUCAUGGUGACUAAGCAGCUGGAAGACAUGAACGCUUACUGUGGGGAGAGGGUAGAGAUGGAAGUUGAGGUGUCUGAAGAUGACGCCAAUGUAAAAUGGUUUAAGAAUGGUGAAGAGAUCUUCCCUGGUCCAAAGUCAAGAUACAAGAUUAAAGUUGAAGGCAAAAAGCACACGUUGAUCAUAGAAGGGGCAACAAAGGCUGACAGUGCGGAGUACUCAGCCAUGACAACCGGGGGACAAUCAUCUGCCAAACUCAGCGUUGACUUGAGACCUCUAAAGAUCACGACGCCUCUGACGGACCAGACAGUAAAACUUGGGAAAGAAGUAUGCUUGAAGUGUGAAAUCUCUGAAAAUGUACCAGGAAAAUGGACAAAAAAUGGCCUCCCUGUUCAGGAGGGUGAGCGUCUGAAGGUUGUUCACAAGGGAAGAAUCCACAAGUUAGUCAUAGCCAAUGCUCUCAUUGAAGAUGAAGGUGAAUAUGUAUUUACACCAGAUGCCUACAAUGUUCCUUUGUCUGCCAAAGUUCAUGUCAUCGACCCUCCCAAGAUCAUCCUGGAUGGCCUGGAUGCUGAUAACACAGUGACAGUGAUAGCUGGAAGCAAGCUUCGCCUGGAGAUUCCUGUCACAGGGGAACCACCUCCCAAAGCCAUCUGGAGCCGAGCAGAUAAGGCUAUUAUGGAAGGCAGUGGUCGGAUCAGGGCAGAAUCCUACCCUGACAGCAGCACACUGGUCAUUGACGUGGCAGAGAGAGACGACUCUGGUGUGUACAACAUAAAUCUGAAAAAUGAGGCUGGAGAAGCACAUGCAAGCAUCAAGAUUAAGGUUGUGGAUAUCCCUGAUCCUCCAGUGGCACCAAAUGUGACAGAAGUGGGAGAUGACUGGUGCAUCAUGAACUGGGAGCCUCCUGCCUAUGAUGGAGGGUCUCCAAUCUUAGGAUACUUUAUUGAGAGGAAAAAGAAACAAAGCUCCAGGUGGAUGAGACUGAAUUUCGAUCUCUGCAAAGAGACAACUUUUGAGCCCAAGAAGAUGAUUGAAGGCGUGGCCUACGAGGUCCGAAUCUUUGCGGUCAACGCCAUUGGCAUCUCCAAGCCCAGUAUGCCCUCCAAGCCCUUUGUUCCUUUGGCUGUGACCAGCCCUCCUACUCUUCUGGCUGUCGACUCCGUGACUGACUCGUCUGUGACGAUGAAGUGGAGGCCCCCAGAUCAGAUUGGCGCAGCAGGUUUAGAUGGCUAUGUGCUAGAGUAUUGCUUUGAAGGAAGUACAUCAGCAAAACAGUCUAAUGAAAAUGGGGAGACUGCCUGUGAUCUACCAGCUGAGGACUGGAUAGUUGCAAACACAGACCUGAUCGACAAGACCAAGUUCACCAUCAAUGGUCUGCCCACGGAUGCGAAGAUCUUUGUACGUGUGAAGGCUAUUAACGCGGCUGGGGCUAGUGAGCCCAAGUACUAUUCUCAGCCCAUCCUUGUGAAGGAAAUCAUUGAGCCACCAAAGAUUCGCAUCCCAAGGCAUCUGAAGCAAACUUACAUCCGCAGAGUCGGAGAAGCUGUCAAUCUGGUGAUUCCUUUUCAGGGUAAACCAAGACCAGAGUUGACCUGGAAGAAGGACGGUGAAGAAAUUGACAAGAAUCAAAUAAACAUUCGCAACUCAGAAACUGAUACCAUCAUAUUCAUCCGGAAAGCAGAGCGGAGCCACUCGGGCAAGUACGACCUGCAGGUCAAAGUGGAUAAAUACGUGGAAAAUGCCUCUAUCGACAUCCAGAUUGUUGACCGUCCAGGUCCACCCCAGACUGUGACUAUUGAAGAUGUGUGGGGAGAGAAUGUUGCCCUAACAUGGACACCACCAAAGGACGAUGGGAAUGCUGCCAUCACAGGGUACACCAUCCAGAAGGCCGACAAGAAAAGCAUGGAAUGGUUCACCGUCAUUGAACAUUACCACCGAACCAACGCCACCAUUACUGAGCUGGUCAUAGGGAACGAGUAUUACUUCCGGGUCUUUGCUGAAAACAUGUGCGGCCUUAGCGAGGAUGCAACUAUGACGAAGGAGAGUGCAGUGAUUGCCAAGGACGGUAAGAUCUAUAAAAAUCCAGUGUACGAAGACUUCAAUUUCACAGAGGCCCCCAUGUUUACUCAACCUUUGGUUAACACCUAUGCCAUCGCUGGUUACAAUGCCACCCUGAACUGCAGCGUCCGAGGAAAUCCCAAGCCCAAAAUCACCUGGAUGAAAAACAAAGUGGCUAUUGUGGAUGACCCAAGAUACAGAAUGUUCAGCAACCAAGGAGUCUGUACCCUGGAGAUCCGCAAGCCUAGUCCUUAUGACGGAGGCACGUACUGCUGCAAAGCAGUCAAUGACCUCGGGACGGUGGAGAUUGAAUGCAAACUGGAGGUGAAAGCGAGUGACUGAAUGCGGCAGAGCAUGGCUCAGAGCAUUUGACGUCCAUGAAAACGAAUGAGUGAUCCCCAUGCAUUCUGAAUUCUUUGCAUCAAGGAAUGGACCUGUAUAUACGUGGCAUCAUUUCUACCAAUAUGUGGUGUGGUGGGCUGUCCUUCUGCAGGCUCCUCCUGCAAGGCGUGCCUCCAAACAUAAUUGAUUCCUAUUUGCGAGACUUACAAUCAAGCAAUCCCGAGGAAUACUGAGGGCAGGGCAUUGCUUCUAGACACACCCACUGCUUUGAAAUCUGAUUGAAAAUGGAUAGUACUUUCUGGUUUUCUCCCAGGCCCCCAAGUGUGGUCACUUUCUUUCUUUCCUCCUAACUUUGAAGAAAGUAAAAAAAAAAUAUAAUAAUUGUUUGCACAGAUUGCUUAAUUAAAAAUUGCAAACAAA
Mus musculus (house mouse) is the source of this 4185-nucleotide RNA transcript. It is a transcript of the gene named myosin binding protein C, slow-type, with no coding region annotated. The record is from RefSeq and is marked validated. Lineage: Eukaryota; Metazoa; Chordata; Mammalia; Rodentia; Muridae. The transcript has 32 exons.